UAACCUGCCUCUUAGCGGGGGAUAACUAUUGGAAACGAUAGCUAAUACCGCAUAAAAGUCGAUAUCGCAUGAUGUUGAUUUGAAAGGUGCAAUUGCAUCACUAAGAGAUGGACCUGCGUUGUAUUAGCUAGUUGGUGAGGUAACGGCUCACCAAGGCGACGAUACAUAGCCGACCUGAGAGGGUGAUCGGCCACACUGGGGCUGAGACACGGCCCAG
Molecule: ribosomal RNA, 217 nt
Filed under: uncultured bacterium
Lineage: Bacteria
Description: partial 16S ribosomal RNA
Rfam family: Bacterial small subunit ribosomal RNA
Source: RNAcentral